RNAcentral lists this ribosomal RNA (253 nucleotides) under uncultured bacterium. Its description in RNAcentral is "partial 16S ribosomal RNA". It matches the Rfam family "Bacterial small subunit ribosomal RNA", at positions 524 to 776 of the family's 1533-position model. The record is from RNAcentral.
UACGGAGGGUGCAAGCGUUAAUCGGAAUUACUGGGCGUAAAGCGUGCGUAGGCGGUUCGUUAAGUCUGUUGUGAAAGCCCCGGGCUCAACCUGGGAAUGGCAAUGGAUACUGGCGAGCUAGAGUGUGUCAGAGGAUGGUGGAAUUCCCGGUGUAGCGGUGAAAUGCGUAGAGAUCGGGAGGAGCAUCAGUGGCGAAGGCGGCCAUCUGGGACAACACUGACGCUGAGGCACGAAAGCGUGGGGAGCAAACAGG